GGAGCCGAAGGGAAACCGAGUCUUAACUGGGCGUUAAGUUGCAGGGUAUAGACCCGAAACCCGGUGAUCUAGCCAUGGGCAGGUUGAAGGUUGGGUAACACUAACUGGAGGACCGAACCGACUAAUGUUGAAAAAUUAGCGGAUGACUUGUGGCUGGGGGUGAAAGGCCAAUCAAACCGGGAGAUAGCUGGUUCUCCCCGAAAGCUAUUUAGGUAGCGCCUCGUGAAUUCAUCUCCGGGGGUAGAGCACUGUUUCGGCAAGGGGGUCAUCCCGACUUACCAACCCGAUGCAAACUGCGAAUACCGGAGAAUGUUAUCACGGGAGACACACGGCGGGUGCUAACGUCCGUCGUGAAGAGGGAAACAACCCAGACCGCCAGCUAAGGUCCCAAAGUCAUGGUUAAGUGGGAAACGAUGUGGGAAGGCCCAGACAGCCAGGAUGUUGGCUUAGAAGCAGCCAUCAUUUAAAGAAAGCGUAAUAGCUCACUGGUCGAGUCGGCCUGCGCGGAAGAUGUAACGGGGCUAAACCAUGCACCGAAGCUGCGGCAGCGACGCUUAUGCGUUGUUGGGUAGGGGAGCGUUCUGUAAGCCUGUGAAGGUGUACUGUGAGGUAUGCUGGAGGUAUCAGAAGUGCGAAUGCUGACAUAAGUAACGAUAAAGCGGGUGAAAAGCCCGCUCGCCGGAAGACCAAGGGUUCCUGUCCAACGUUAAUCGGGGCAGGGUGAGUCGACCCCUAAGGCGAGGCCGAAAGGCGUAGUCGAUGGGAAACAGGUUAAUAUUCCUGUACUUGGUGUUACUGCGAAGGGGGGACGGAGAAGGCUAUGUUGGCCGGGCGACGGUUGUCCCGGUUUAAGCGUGUAGGCUGGUUUUCCAGGCAAAUCCGGAAAAUCAAGGCUGAGGCGUGAUGACGAGGCACUACGGUGCUGAAGCAACAAAUGCCCUGCUUCCAGGAAAAGCCUCUAAGCAUCAGGUAACAUCAAAUCGUACCCCAAACCGACACAGGUGGUCAGGUAGAGAAUACCAAGGCGCUUGAGAGAACUCGGGUGAAGGAACUAGGCAAAAUGGUGCCGUAACUUCGGGAGAAGGCACGCUGAUAUGUAGGUGAAGCGACUUGCUCGUGGAGCUGAAAUCAGUCGAAGAUACCAGCUGGCUGCAACUGUUUAUUAAAAACACAGCACUGUGCAAACACGAAAGUGGACGUAUACGGUGUGACGCCUGCCCGGUGCCGGAAGGUUAAUUGAUGGGGUCAGCGCAAGCGAAGCUCUUGAUCGAAGCCCCGGUAAACGGCGGCCGUAACUAUAACGGUCCUAAGGUAGCGAAAUUCCUUGUCGGGUAAGUUCCGACCUGCACGAAUGGCGUAAUGAUGGCCAGGCUGUCUCCACCCGAGACUCAGUGAAAUUGAACUCGCUGUGAAGAUGCAGUGUACCCGCGGCAAGACGGAAAGACCCCGUGAACCUUUACUAUAGCUUGACACUGAACAUUGAGCCUUGAUGUGUAGGAUAGGUGGGAGGCUUUGAAGUGUGGACGCCAGUCUGCAUGGAGCCGACCUUGAAAUACCACCCUUUAAUGUUUGAUGUUCUAACGUGGACCCGUGAUCCGGGUUGCGGACAGUGUCUGGUGGGUAGUUUGACUGGGGCGGUCUCCUCCUAAAGAGUAACGGAGGAGCACGAAGGUUGGCUAAUCCUGGUCGGACAUCAGGAGGUUAGUGCAAUGGCAUAAGCCAGCUUGAC
This 1729-nucleotide ribosomal RNA is filed under the name Escherichia coli. Its description in RNAcentral is "bacterial LSU rRNA". It matches the Rfam family "Bacterial large subunit ribosomal RNA", at positions 662 to 2373 of the family's 2925-position model. Lineage: Bacteria; Pseudomonadati; Pseudomonadota; Gammaproteobacteria; Enterobacterales; Enterobacteriaceae. The record is from RNAcentral.